RNAcentral lists this small nuclear RNA (107 nucleotides) under Pteropus vampyrus (large flying fox). The record is from RNAcentral. Lineage: Eukaryota; Metazoa; Chordata; Mammalia; Chiroptera; Pteropodidae.
GUGCUUAUUUCAGCAGCACAUAUACUAAAAUUGGAAUGAUACAGAGAAGAUUAGCAUGUCUCCUGCACGAGAAUGACACGCAAAUUUGUGAAGCAUUCCAUAUUUUU